UGAACACUCUUUUUUAUUCAUUUCAUGAUUUGAUUAGAAUAUCAAGCUUUAUCCUUAAAUACAUUUUUAGAAAUAGCAGCAGUAGGAGCCUUGCCAAAGUGGCAUUGUUUUCAAAUCUGCAUUUAUGUGCACAGCAUGACAAGAUCCAAUAUUACUGUUUAUAAUUAUAAUAAUAAUAAAAAUAAAUCAUCAAUUACCGGACGUGGCAGAUUUUUGGGCAGACACGCCACAACUGUGAGGAUAGAUUUGUUCUCAGAAACACUAAUUCAGAAAUCAGAAAUUCACAAGAUAUUAUAAAAUGAGAAGAAAUAAAAAAAGAAACAUGAAAAUCUGGGGAAAAUCUGAAUAAUAAGUCAUAAUAACCAAGAAAGCUCUAAAAAUGGGACACCACUGUGAUUACCCAUGACCGUGGAAAUGAUUGUUCCCUGCAUGCAGCGAUCAAUUGGCUUCUUACAUAAUACUCGAUUUAUUAAGUCCUUCACAUUUUACAGGUGAAAUCAAUUUUAGCACUAGAGCAAACAAAGUCUGUGGAAAUGACAGCAUGAAAAUGACUUUGUAAAAUGACAAUCAUGCAUCUUUGUACUUACCAACAACUCUUCCCCUGCAGCCCCCCUGUUGUUGAAGACCACACACCUGGGGAAGAAAAUGCCAACAACAACAGGUUCAGCAGGUGAAUCCCUCUCAGCUCACAAUCCUGGUGUGUCACUGCUUGAGGAUACCUCCAUUACCUCCGCUAAGGAUGUUGGGAGAAAGAUGAGGAGCAAAACUGACCUGUAGCCACGGCGGGUGGCCUGGCUGAUGGCGUGGAGCACAUAGGGCUGCUUGCUGUUCCCCGCCAGGCCUGGCAGGAUCAGUACUGUGGGGCGGGUGGAGGAUUCUGGGUGGGCCGCACUGGCCUGAUUGUCCACCCAGUCCAGCGAAAUCUGACCACCGUCAUCGGUACGGAGAAGCUCACUGAUGGAAUGAGGGAGACGAUAGAAACAGAGAGACUGAAUUUGAAAGAAAACACAAGACAAAAUGACGAGAAUGUGGAUAGUGUUUUACUGAAAGAGAGAUAAUAAGAUACAUGUGUCGACCAGCAAGAGGAAGAUAAAAUGAUCCUACUUGCGAUAAGUGACGUGGGGUCUGGAUUUGAGGACGGAACAGACCAGGGUUUGAAGGCGACCUCCCCAGCACCACGGGGUGGGACUGAAGCGCUCAGCCACCGCAGGACAGUGUUCCUGGAGGAAUGCACUGAGAGCCUCACUACAAACCAGAGCAGGUGCCUGCAGCAGAAAACACACACAAAAACAUACUAAUACCUGUGACAUAACUGCAAUUAUAUACAAUUAUGUUGACUCACAACCAAAGCAUUUUUUUAAUAUCAGGUUAAAACUGUUAUUGACGUUCCAAACUCUUGAUAACAUUUCAUUACAUAUGACUAUAACUGUGUUACAUUGUGUUGUCAAGCAUUAUUAUCUGUUAUACAGCAGUUAUGGAUGUUUAACGUGAUGCGUUAUUUUGGGAAAAAAAGAUUAAUAAACACUUAAAAU
Long non-coding RNA from Scophthalmus maximus (turbot), 1532 nucleotides. RefSeq lists it as uncharacterized. Lineage: Eukaryota; Metazoa; Chordata; Actinopteri; Pleuronectiformes; Scophthalmidae. The transcript is spliced from 2 exons. The record is from RefSeq and is a predicted model, not a curated record.